RNAcentral lists this non-coding RNA (29 nucleotides) under Homo sapiens (human). The record is from RNAcentral. Lineage: Eukaryota; Metazoa; Chordata; Mammalia; Primates; Hominidae.
UGACAGCUGUGUUGGAAAUAAAUGGAUAC